RNAcentral lists this ribosomal RNA (379 nucleotides) under uncultured bacterium. RNAcentral's name for it is "bacterial SSU rRNA". It matches the Rfam family "Bacterial small subunit ribosomal RNA", at positions 30 to 407 of the family's 1533-position model. The record is from RNAcentral.
AUUGAACGCUGGCGGCAUGCCUUACACAUGCAAGUCGAACGGCAGCACGGGAGCAAUCCUGGUGGCGAGUGGCGAACGGGUGAGUAAUAUAUCGGAACGUGCCCAGUCGUGGGGAUAACGUAGCGAAAGCUACGCUAAUACCGCAUACGAUCUAUGGAUGAAAGCGGGGGAUCGCAAGACCUCGCGCGAUUGGAGCGGCCGAUAUCAGAUUAGGUAGUUGGUGAGGUAAAGGCUCACCAAGCCGACGAUCUGUAGCUGGUCUGAGAGGACGACCAGCCACACUGGGACUGAGACACGGCCCAGACUCCUACGGAGGCAGCAGUGGGGAAUAAUUGGACAAUAGGGCGGCAAGACCUGAUCCAGCCAUGCCGCGUGUGUG